AUGGGCCGCGGGAGGGUGGAGAUCAGGCGGAUCGCCAACGACGUCUCGCGGCGGGCCACCUUCGGCAAGCGCAGCGCCGGGCUGCUCAAGAAGGCGCGGGAGCUCGCCGUGCUCUGCGACGUCGACCUCGGCGUCCUCGUCUUCGACGGCGCCGGCAGCGGCAGGCACGCCCACUACUGCAGCCCCAACACCAGCUGGACCGAGCUAAUUCAGCGCUACGACAGCAUCACCAACGACCAGUUGCAGGGGAAUGAGGGCACAAAUCAUCAUGAUCAUCAGCAACUGUUGACGGAUAUCGCAAGGUUGAGGCGAGAGCAUGACCAUCUCGAGGCCACCCUGCAGAGGCACACCGGAGAAGACCUGCCAUCGGGCGCGACCGCGGCGGAGCUCCGUGAUCUGGAGCAGCGGCUAGAAUGCGCGUUGGAUAAAGUCCGUGAAAUGAAGGAUAAACUGAUGGAGGAGCAGUUGGACGAAUCACACAACAGGAUGCACAUCCUGGAGGAGCAGAACAGCUUCCUUCGCCACAUGAUGAGUGAGGAGGGGCGGCAACGUGCUGCCGUGGAGGCGUCGGCGGUGGUGGCGGAGCUCAUGGCGCCGAUACAGCCGGCGACGCUGUUCGGGGGCUUCUUCCCGGAGGUGGAGGAGGAGGCAGUGACUUCGCUGCGGCUGUGGCCGUAG
RNAcentral lists this ribosomal RNA (678 nucleotides) under Triticum aestivum (bread wheat). RNAcentral describes it as "partial small subunit ribosomal RNA". The record is from RNAcentral. Lineage: Eukaryota; Viridiplantae; Streptophyta; Magnoliopsida; Poales; Poaceae.